Molecule: long non-coding RNA, 133 nt
Organism: Cyprinus carpio carpio
Lineage: Eukaryota; Metazoa; Chordata; Actinopteri; Cypriniformes; Cyprinidae
Source: Ensembl
GGACUUAAAUUGAGGUGAGCUGUGGGCAGGUCUUAUCUAAACCCCGCCCCUCACUCCUGCUGCUGAGGUGGCUGUGGAGAGUUCUGGGAAAAACAACAAAGGCAAUAGAGGAAAAAGAGAGGGGGGAGGGCGG